UUGCAUCGAUGUGGCAGACACUAUG
RNAcentral lists this non-coding RNA (25 nucleotides) under Rattus norvegicus (Norway rat). Lineage: Eukaryota; Metazoa; Chordata; Mammalia; Rodentia; Muridae. The record is from RNAcentral.